GAUGAACGCUGGCGGCGUGCCUAAUACAUGCAAGUCGAGCGAACGGACGAGAAGCUUGCUUCUCUGAUGUUAGCGGCGGACGGGUGAGUAACACGUGGAUAACCUACCUAUAAGACUGGGAUAACUUCGGGAAACCGGAGCUAAUACCGGAUAAUAUUUUGAACCGCAUGGUUCAAAAGUGAAAGACGGUCUUGCUGUCACUUAUAGAUGGAUCCGCGCUGCAUUAGCUAGUUGGUAAGGUAACGGCUUACCAAGGCAACGAUACAUAGCCGACCUGAGAGGGUGAUCGGCCACACUGGAACUGAGACACGGUCCAGACUCCUACGGGAGGCAGCAGUAGGGAAUCUUCCGCAAUGGGCGAAAGCCUGACGGAGCAACGCCGCGUGAGUGAUGAAGGUCUUCGGAUCGUAAAACUCUGUUAUUAGGGAAGAACAUAUGUGUAAGUAACUGUGCACAUCUUGACGGUACCUAAUCAGAAAGCCACGGCUAACUACGUGCCAGCAGCCGCGGUAAUACGUAGGUGGCAAGCGUUAUCCGGAAUUAUUGGGCGUAAAGCGCGCGUAGGCGGUUUUUUAAGUCUGAUGUGAAAGCCCACGGCUCAACCGUGGAGGGUCAUUGGAAACUGGAAAACUUGAGUGCAGAAGAGGAAAGUGGAAUUCCAUGUGUAGCGGUGAAAUGCGCAGAGAUAUGGAGGAACACCAGUGGCGAAGGCGACUUUCUGGUCUGUAACUGACGCUGAUGUGCGAAAGCGUGGGGAUCAAACAGGAUUAGAUACCCUGGUAGUCCACGCCGUAAACGAUGAGUGCUAAGUGUUAGGGGGUUUCCGCCCCUUAGUGCUGCAGCUAACGCAUUAAGCACUCCGCCUGGGGAGUACGACCGCAAGGUUGAAACUCAAAGGAAUUGACGGGGACCCGCACAAGCGGUGGAGCAUGUGGUUUAAUUCGAAGCAACGCGAAGAACCUUACCAAAUCUUGACAUCCUUUGACAACUCUAGAGAUAGAGCCUUCCCCUUCGGGGGACAAAGUGACAGGUGGUGCAUGGUUGUCGUCAGCUCGUGUCGUGAGAUGUUGGGUUAAGUUCCGCAACGAGCGCAACCCUUAAGCUUAGUUGCCAUCAUUAAGUUGGGCACUCUAAGUUGACUGCCGGUGACAAACCGGAGGAAGGUGGGGAUGACGUCAAAUCAUCAUGCCCCUUAUGAUUUGGGCUACACACGUGCUACAAUGGACAAUACAAAGGGCAGCGAAACCGCGAGGUCAAGCAAAUCCCAUAAAGUUGUUCUCAGUUCGGAUUGUAGUCUGCAACUCGACUACAUGAAGCUGGAAUCGCUAGUAAUCGUAGAUCAGCAUGCUACGGUGAAUACGUUCCCGGGUCU
RNAcentral lists this ribosomal RNA (1372 nucleotides) under uncultured bacterium. RNAcentral describes it as "bacterial SSU rRNA". It matches the Rfam family "Bacterial small subunit ribosomal RNA", at positions 28 to 1381 of the family's 1533-position model. The record is from RNAcentral.